RNAcentral lists this ribosomal RNA (384 nucleotides) under uncultured eukaryote. RNAcentral describes it as "partial 18S ribosomal RNA". It matches the Rfam family "Eukaryotic small subunit ribosomal RNA", at positions 592 to 976 of the family's 1831-position model. The record is from RNAcentral.
CAAUAGCGUAUAUUAAAGUUGUUGCAGUUAAAAAGCUCGUAGUUGGAUUUCUGGUGGGAGCGACCGGUCGGCGCUUAACGGCGUGUGCACUGGAGUUGUCUCUUGCCAUCCUUGAGGAGAACGUGUCUGGCAUUAAGUUGUCGGGCUUGGGAUCCUCAUCGUUUACUGUGAAAAAAUUGGAGUGUUUAAAGCAGGCAUUUGCUGUGAAUACAUUAGCAUGGAAUAAUAAGAUAGGACUUUGGUGCUAUUUUGUUGGUUUGCGUACCAAGGUAAUGAUUAAUAGGGAUAGUUGGGGGUAUUCGUAUUCAAUUGUCAGAGGUGAAAUUCUUGGAUUUAUGGAAGACGAACAACUGCGAAAGCAUUUACCAAGGAUGUUUUCAUUAA